This 518-nucleotide ribosomal RNA is filed under the name uncultured bacterium. Its description in RNAcentral is "bacterial SSU rRNA". It matches the Rfam family "Bacterial small subunit ribosomal RNA", at positions 10 to 518 of the family's 1533-position model. The record is from RNAcentral.
AGUUGAUCAUGGCUCAGGAUGAACGCUAGCUACAGGCUUAACACAUGCAAGUCGAGGGGCAGCAUGAGCUUAGCUUGCUAAGCUUGAUGGCGACCGGCGCACGGGUGAGUAACGCGUAUCCAACCUUCCCCUUAGUAGGGCAUAGCCCGGUGAAAAUCGGAUUAAUACCCUAUGUUCUUCACAGCGGACAUCUAACGUGAAGCAAAGGUUCACCGCUAAGGGAUGGGGAUGCGUCUGAUUAGGUAGUCGGCGGGGUAACGGCCCACCGAGCCAUCGAUCAGUAGGGGUUCUGAGAGGAAGGUCCCCCACAUUGGAACUGAGACACGGUCCAAACUCCUACGGGAGGCAGCAGUGAGGAAUAUUGGUCAAUGGGUGCGAGCCUGAACCAGCCAAGUAGCGUGCAGGAAGACGGCCCUAUGGGUUGUAAACUGCUUUUAUGCGGGGAUAAAGUCACCCACGUGUGGGUGUUUGCAGGUACCGCAUGAAUAAGGACCGGCUAAUUCCGUGCCAGCCGCAGC